AGAAGUAUUUGGGGUAGAAGCAUUUGAAACAAAUUAGAAUUUUGUUAAUUUUUUUAAAUAUUUAUAUGUGGAUUCUUGUUGUGGAUCUUAUAUAAAGUUUCGAAAGUUCAUCGUCUGGUUGAAUCUCAAUUAUGCAGGGGACGCAAAGAGUAAGAGUAACGUUAUAAAUUUUAUCGAUGAACGAAGAAUGCGCUGGAAGAAUUCC
Apis dorsata (giant honeybee) is the source of this 205-nucleotide long non-coding RNA. RefSeq lists it as uncharacterized. The transcript has 3 exons. NCBI's taxonomy places the organism in Eukaryota, Metazoa, Arthropoda, Insecta, Hymenoptera, Apidae. The record is from RefSeq and is a predicted model, not a curated record.